AUCCAUAAAAGACCUUUUGAUUUGAACAUGCAUAUGUUUUGAGUGUUGAUAUUAGAGGCUUGCCAAGUCUGUUUGUUGCUUGUUUUCUUGAGUGCAUUGAGUUGACAUUGUUUACCUUAGACACUUGAGAGAAACACUAAUGGGGUAUUGAUUUUGUUGUUGUUACAAGGCAUUUUGGAAGUUGAAGAUUUUUAUUGUUGGGGU
RNAcentral lists this long non-coding RNA (204 nucleotides) under Vigna radiata. Its description in RNAcentral is "long non-coding RNA (VRAD_LNC015033)". Lineage: Eukaryota; Viridiplantae; Streptophyta; Magnoliopsida; Fabales; Fabaceae. The record is from RNAcentral.